Molecule: transfer RNA, 62 nt
Filed under: Cordylochernes scorpioides
Lineage: Eukaryota; Metazoa; Arthropoda; Arachnida; Pseudoscorpiones; Chernetidae
Description: tRNA-OTHER
Rfam family: tRNA
About the family: Transfer RNA (tRNA) molecules are approximately 80 nucleotides in length. Their secondary structure includes four short double-helical elements and three loops (D, anti-codon, and T loops).
Source: RNAcentral
CCAUCGGUGGUUCAGUGGUAGAAUGCUCGCAGGCGGCCCGGGUUCGAUUCCCGGCCGAUGCA